Molecule: non-coding RNA, 73 nt
Organism: Sus scrofa (pig)
Lineage: Eukaryota; Metazoa; Chordata; Mammalia; Artiodactyla; Suidae
Source: Rfam
UCCCUGGUGGCCUAGUGGUUAAGGAUCCAGCAUUGUCACUGUUGUGGCACAGGUUAAGUUCCUGGCCUGGGAA